AUUGAACGCUGGCGGCAUGCUUUACACAUGCAAGUCGAACGGUAACAGGUUAAGCUGACGAGUGGCGAACGGGUGAGUAAUGCAUCGGAACGUGCCCGGUCGUGGGGGAUAACACUUCGAAAGAAGUGCUAAUACCGCAUACGAUCUGAGGAUGAAAGCGGGGGACCGUAAGGCCUCGCGCGAUCGGAGCGGCCGAUGUCAGAUUAGGUAGUUGGUGGGGUAAGGGCUCACCAAGCCGACGAUCUGUAGCUGGUCUGAGAGGACGACCAGCCACACUGGGACUGAGACACGGCCCAGACUCCUACGGGAGGCAGCAGUGGGGAAUUUUGGACGAUGGGCGCAAGCCUGAUUCAGCAAUGCCGCGUGCAGGAAGAAGGCCUUCGGGUUGUAAACUGCUUUUGUACGGAGCGAAAAGGCUCUCUCUAAUACAGGGGGCUCAUGACGGUACCGUAAGAAUAAGCACCGGCUAACUACGUGCCAGCAGCCGCCGUAA
This 493-nucleotide ribosomal RNA is filed under the name uncultured bacterium. Its description in RNAcentral is "partial 16S ribosomal RNA". It matches the Rfam family "Bacterial small subunit ribosomal RNA", at positions 30 to 523 of the family's 1533-position model. The record is from RNAcentral.